This 862-nucleotide ribosomal RNA is filed under the name uncultured bacterium. Its description in RNAcentral is "bacterial SSU rRNA". It matches the Rfam family "Bacterial small subunit ribosomal RNA", at positions 8 to 853 of the family's 1533-position model. The record is from RNAcentral.
AGAGUUUGAUCAUGGCUCAGGACGAACGCUGGCGGCGUGCCUAAUACAUGCAAGUUGAGCGCUGAAGGUUGGUACUUGUACCGACUGGAUGAGCAGCGAACGGGUGAGUAACGCGUGGGGAAUCUGCCUUUGAGCGGGGGACAACAUUUGGAAACGAAUGCUAAUACCGCAUAAAAACUUUAAACACAAGUUUUAAGUUUGAAAGAUGCAAUUGCAUCACUCAAAGAUGAUCCCGCGUUGUAUUAGCUAGUUGGUGAGGUAAAGGCUCACCAAGGCGAUGAUACAUAGCCGACCUGAGAGGGUGAUCGGCCACAUUGGGACUGAGACACGGCCCAAACUCCUACGGGAGGCAGCAGUAGGGAAUCUUCGGCAAUGGACGAAAGUCUGACCGAGCAACGCCGCGUGAGUGAAGAAGGUUUUCGGAUCGUAAAACUCUGUUGGUAGAGAAGAACGUUGGUGAGAGUGGAAAGCUCAUCAAGUGACGGUAACUACCCAGAAAGGGACGGCUAACUACGUGCCAGCAGCCGCGGUAAUACGUAGGUCCCGAGCGUUGUCCGGAUUUAUUGGGCGUAAAGCGAGCGCAGGUGGUUUAUUAAGUCUGGUGUAAAAGGCAGUGGCUCAACCAUUGUAUGCAUUGGAAACUGGUAGACUUGAGUGCAGGAGAGGAGAGUGGAAUUCCAUGUGUAGCGGUGAAAUGCGUAGAUAUAUGGAGGAACACCGGUGGCGAAAGCGGCUCUCUGGCCUGUAACUGACACUGAGGCUCGAAAGCGUGGGGAGCAAACAGGAUUAGAUACCCUGGUAGUCCACGCCGUAAACGAUGAGUGCUAGAUGUAGGGAGCUAUAAGUUCUCUGUAUCGCAGCU